AUGGGCGAAAGCCUGAUGCAGCGGCGCCGCGUGCGGGACGAAGGCCUUCGGGUUGUAAACCGCUUUCAGCAGGGACGAGGCGAAAGUGACGGUACCUGCAGAAGAAGCCCCGGCUAACUACGUGCCAGCAGCCGCGGUAAUACGUAGGGGGCAAGCGUUAUCCGGAUUCAUUGGGCGUAAAGCGCUCGUAGGCGGUCUGUUAGGUCGGGAGUUAAAUCCGGAGGCUCAACCUCCGCCCGCUCCCGAUACCGGCAGACUUGAGUUUGGUAGGGGAAGGUGGAAUUCCUAGUGUAGCGGUGGAAUGCGCAGAUAUUAGGAAGAACACCAGUGGCGAAGGCGGCCUUCUGGGCCAUAACUGACGCUGAGGAGCGAAAGCUAGGGGAGCAAACAGGAUUAGAUACCCUGGUAGUCCUAGCUGUAAACGAUGGACACUAGGUGUGGGAGAAGUACGUCUUCCGUGCCGCAGCUAACGCAUUAAGUGUCCCGCCUGGGGAGUACGGCCGCAAGGCUAAAACUCAAAGGAAUUGACGGGGACCCGCACAAGCAGCGGAGCAUGUGGUUUAAUUCGAAGCAACGCGAAGAACCUUACCA
RNAcentral lists this ribosomal RNA (591 nucleotides) under Lancefieldella rimae. Its description in RNAcentral is "bacterial SSU rRNA". It matches the Rfam family "Bacterial small subunit ribosomal RNA", at positions 371 to 976 of the family's 1533-position model. The record is from RNAcentral. Lineage: Bacteria; Bacillati; Actinomycetota; Coriobacteriia; Coriobacteriales; Atopobiaceae.